UGUGGCCCCGCGUUACAGUCGGAUUUAUGUAUGUUUCCUGAAGUGAAGGCAACGUAAAGUGUGCGCAAUAUCUACUUGUACGAGUAUACCCGUAUGCUAUAACUCGUAGCCGUAUAAUUUAUAACGUUUUCUGGUUGGUUGAUUUUCCAGCUGAAGUCAUAGUACGACAGGCUGAUGGGUAUAUUAUGUUUGCCACGAAGUAUGGAACACCCAGAAGGAAGCGUCGGACACCCUAUAAAGUAUGUAUGUAUAUAUAAAUGAUCAGUAUGUUGAGCUGAGUCGAUUUAGCCAUGUCCGUCUGUUUGCUGUCCGUUUAUACAUAUCUAUAUAUGUAUAUACGAACUAGUCCCUCAGUUGUUAAGAUAUCGUUUUGAAAUUUUGUAAAAGUAAUUUUGUCUUCAAGAAGCUGCUCAUUUGUCGGAAUUGCCGAUAUCGGACUGAAUACAAAAUUUAUGUUUGAUAAAAACAAACCUUGUUUGUAUUUUCACAAUUUGAUUAAAGAGAUUACAAUUUUUAUUAUUAUAAGUGUUAUAAAAUUUAAUUUUAUUAAAAUAGGUGUCCACAAAUGGGGCGGCGAGAAUCCUAUUCCGACUUUUACGGAUGGAUGUCCUAAAGUA
Molecule: long non-coding RNA, 617 nt
Organism: Bactrocera dorsalis (oriental fruit fly)
Lineage: Eukaryota; Metazoa; Arthropoda; Insecta; Diptera; Tephritidae
Exons: 3
Source: RefSeq, a predicted model, not a curated record